GAUGAACGCUGGCGGCGUGCUUAAUACAUGCAAGUCGAACGGAGAGUAGCAAUACUCUGAGUGGCGAACGGGUGAGUAACGCGUUGGUACCUGCCCCAAAGCGGGGGAUAACGGGACGAAAGUCUCGCUAAUACCCCAUGUGCUCCGGAAGGAGGAAAGCCGAAAGGCACUUUGGGAGGGGCCUGCGUCCCAUCAGCUGGUUGGUGAGGUAACGGCUCACCAAGGCGAUGACGGGUAGGGGACCUGAGAGGGUGGCCCCCCACAAUGGAACUGAAACACGGUCCAUACACCUACGGGUGGCAGCAGUAGGGGAUAUUGGUAAUGGGCGAAAGCCUGAACCAGCAACGCCGCGUGUGCGAUGAAGGCCUUCGGGUUGUAAAGCACUUUUGACUGGGACGAGGAAGGACGGUAC
RNAcentral lists this ribosomal RNA (412 nucleotides) under uncultured bacterium. RNAcentral describes it as "bacterial SSU rRNA". It matches the Rfam family "Bacterial small subunit ribosomal RNA", at positions 28 to 478 of the family's 1533-position model. The record is from RNAcentral.